This 1370-nucleotide ribosomal RNA is filed under the name uncultured bacterium. RNAcentral describes it as "bacterial SSU rRNA". It matches the Rfam family "Bacterial small subunit ribosomal RNA", at positions 49 to 1400 of the family's 1533-position model. The record is from RNAcentral.
UAAUACAUGCAAGUCGAACGAAAAAUAUAUAGAUGCUUGCAUUUAUAUAUUUUUAGUGGCGAACGGGUGAGUAAUAUAUAGAUAACCUACCUUUAAGUUGGGGAUAACAGAGGGAAACUUUUGCUAAUACCGAAUAAAAUAAUUAGACGCAUGUUUAAUUAUUAAAAGGGGCUUCAAAGCCCCGCUCUAAGAGGGGUCUAUAUCGCAUUAGCUAGUUGGUAAGAUAACAGCCUACCAAGGCUAUGAUGCGUAGCUGUACUGAGAGGUAGAACAGCCACAUUGGGACUGAGAUACGGCCCAAACUCCUACGGGAGGCAGCAGUAGGGAAUUUUCGGCAAUGGGGGGAACCCUGACCGAGCAAUGCCGCGUGAUUGAAGAAGAUCCUCGGAUCGUAAAGAUCUGUUAUUAGGGAAGAAUGGAAUUGAUAGGAAAUGAUCAAUUUAUGACGGUGCCUAAUGAGGAAGCCCCGGCUAACUAUGUGCCAGCAGCCGCGGUAAUACAUAGGGGGCGAGCGUUAUCCGGAAUUAUUGGGCGUAAAGGGUACGUAGGCGGGCCUGCAAGUCUGAUUUGAAAGCACACGGCUUAACCGUGUGAGGUAAUUAGAAACUACAGGUCUAGAGAGUGGUAGAGGUAAAUGGAAUUCCAAGUGGAGCGGUGAAAUGCGUAGAGAUUUGGAGGAACACCAGUGGCGAAGGCGGUUUACUGGGCCACAUCUGACGCUGAUGUACGAAAGCGUGGGAAGCAAACAGGAUUAGAUACCCUGGUAGUCCACGCCGUAAACGAUGAGUGCUAAGUAUCGGUAGAUUCGGUGCUUAAGCUAACGCAGUAAGCACUCCGCCUGGGGAGUACGGUCGCAAGACUGAAACUCAAAGGAAUUGACGGGGACUCGCACAAGCGGUGGAGCAUGUGGUUUAAUUCGAGGCAACGCGAAGAACCUUACCCGGUUUUGACAUCUGUGGUAACCUGCAGAGAUGUGGGUGUGCCGGUUUACCGGAGCCACAAAACAGGUGCUGCAUGGCUGUCGUCAGCUCGUGUCGUGAGAUGUUGGGUUAAGUCCCGCAACGAGCGCAACCCCUGCUUUCAGUUACCAUCAUUAAGUUGGGGACUCUGGAAGGACCGCUGCGGUAACAACGCAGAGGAAGAUGGGGACGAUGUCAAGCAAUCAUGGUCCUUAUGACCGGGGCUACACACGUGCUACAAUGGCAGUUACAGAGGGAAGCGAAGCUGUAAAGUGGAGCGAAUCUCAUAAAAGCUGCCUCAGUUCGGAUUGAGGUCUGCAACUCGACCUCAUGAAGUUGGAAUCGCUAGUAAUCGCGCAACAUCAUGGCGCGGUGAAUACGUUCCCGGGCCUUGUACACACCGCCCGUCAA